Molecule: long non-coding RNA, 1136 nt
Organism: Oncorhynchus tshawytscha (Chinook salmon)
Lineage: Eukaryota; Metazoa; Chordata; Actinopteri; Salmoniformes; Salmonidae
Source: Ensembl
GCACAUUGUUAUGGGGAACAUGACCUUCUUAACAUUCCAAGGUUGCGUGACAAAUGGCACCCUAUUCUCUAUAGCGCAGUCCUUCUGACCAGCUCCCUAUCAGUCCUGGUCAAAAGUAGUGUAUUAAAUAGGGGAAAGGGUGCAAUUUGGGACGCUGACCCCACAUUCCAUCCGAGCCCACCUCUGUCGGGGUACAGGGCACCGAAAAAGCUCUCUUAAAUGGGAACGGUGACAUCCUGUGUUAGGACGGUUGAGUAUACAGUAUAUAUGGACAGCAUUUUACACAGUAAUUGUAAAUUAUAUACAGUAUCAUAAUAAAUAAAAAAGGACAAUGACACAAAUACAGCUGAUGUUUAUCGAUGUUUUGCAGAAAUAGCUUGUUUUUCAGACUGCACUGAAAUCAAUCUGUACGUGAUUUUGUCCGGCUACCCACCUUCAAACUGAAUGCUCCCGUGUUCGCGGAGAAACUACAUUCACAAUAAACACUGCAUAUGUCGUCUCAAUCGGCAACUACCUUAAAAAUGGUGCAUGUUGCAGACGAAGCGCGUUUGCAUUGAAUCUUGGCCAUUGAAUGCAUAGGGAUGGGCUGCCACCUAGUGGUUGAGAUAAGAAGUGCAGCUCCAAGGGGCCAAGGUUCCGGUCUAUAGAGGCCCACAGUGGAGGUGUCAUAAUACCAUAAAACCUAGCAGUCAAACAGGGAAAUUAUUCCAAUCUUUUUUCCUCCAUUCAUUUUCCCCAUAGGGGAUUUUAGAAACACUUAAAAUAAGGGCUGUGUUUUGUGUAGGUUUACCCUGGCAUGAGGUUUUGAUAACCAUGUAAAUCUGUCUCGAACAAGGUGACUUUUAUCAAUAUAUUCGGUUCUAUUUACUCACCGAAUCGAAAAUGCUAAUUAGCAUCAAAGUAUACAUUACGCAAAACUACAAAUCCCUGCAAGCUCCUGCAUGUCAUCUCUAGCUGACACCUUUACUAACAGUUAUUGUGUCAAUUUAAACCAGAGUUUUCAUCUGGUUUAUAGAGACCAACAUCAGGGUUGGAUCUGGUUUAUAGAGACCAACAUCAGGGUUGGAUCUGGUUUAUAGAGACCAACAUCAGGGUUGGAUCUGGUUUAUAGAGACCAACAUCAGGGUUGGAUCUGG